UACGUAGGGCGCGAGCGUUGUCCGGAAUCAUUGGGCGUAAAGAGCUCGUAGGCGGCCUGUCGCGUCUGCUGUGAAAUCCCGGGGCUCAACCCCGGGCGUGCAGUGGAUACGGGCUGGCUGGAGGGAGGCAGGGGAGAACGGAAUUCCCGGUGUAGCGGUGAAAUGCGCAGAUAUCGGGAGGAACACCGGUGGCGAAGGCGGUUCUCUGGGCCUGUACUGACGCUGAGGAGCGAAAGCGUGGGGAGCGAACAGG
RNAcentral lists this ribosomal RNA (253 nucleotides) under uncultured bacterium. RNAcentral's name for it is "partial 16S ribosomal RNA". It matches the Rfam family "Bacterial small subunit ribosomal RNA", at positions 524 to 776 of the family's 1533-position model. The record is from RNAcentral.